RNAcentral lists this ribosomal RNA (441 nucleotides) under uncultured bacterium. RNAcentral's name for it is "partial 16S ribosomal RNA". It matches the Rfam family "Bacterial small subunit ribosomal RNA", at positions 355 to 784 of the family's 1533-position model. The record is from RNAcentral.
UGGGGAAUAUUGCACAAUGGGCGCAAGCCUGAUGCAGCCAUGCCGCGUGUGUGAAGAAGGCCUUCGGGUUGUAAAGCACUUUCAGCGAGGAGGAAGGUGGUGAGCUUAAUACGCUCAUCAAUUGACGUUACUCGCAGAAGAAGCACCGGCUAACUCCGUGCCAGCAGCCGCGGUAAUACGGAGGGUGCAAGCGUUAAUCGGAAUUACUGGGCGUAAAGCGCACGCAGGCGGUUUGUUAAGUCAGAUGUGAAAUCCCCGGGCUCAACCUGGGAACUGCAUUUGAAACUGGCAAGCUAGAGUCUCGUAGAGGGGGGUAGAACUCCAGGUGUAGCGGUGAAAUGCGUAGAGAUCUGGAGGAAUACCGGUGGCGAAGGCGGCCCCCCUGGANGAAGACUGACGCUCAGGUGCGAAAAGCGUGGGGGCAGCAAACAGGAUUAGAUA